GCCUAUGGCGGAGUGCGGCCGGGGGGGCACCGCCGGCGGGGCCCUGCCCACCUCCCCGAGCCCGGCCCUCGGCGCCAAGGGCUCCCUGAAAGCCGCAGCCGGGGAAGGCGGCGGCGGCGGGGGAGGUCGCCUCGGCCAGGGGCGGGCGCGCUAUGACAGCGGCGGGGUUUCCAACGGAGACUGCAGCCUCGCCGUGUCCGGGGACGAAGCCCGAGCCAGCCCCGCCAGGGGACCCCGCGGCGCUGCGGUCGCCCUGACCCCCAGUCCAGCCGCUGGCCCCCUCCCCCGGGAAAGCAAGCCGGGCGGCCUGCCCCGCCGGAGCAGCAUCAUCAAGGAUGGUACAAAACAGAAAAGAGAACGGAAGAAGACGGUAUCAUUCAGCAGCAUGCCAACAGAGAAGAAGAUCAGCAGUGCAAGUGAUUGUAUCAAUUCAAUGGUUGAAGGUUCAGAACUCAAAAAGGUUCGAUCCAACUCUAGGAUUUACCAUAGAUAUUUUUUACUGGAUGCCGACAUGCAGAGCCUGAGGUGGGAGCCGUCCAAGAAGGAUUCUGAGAAAGCCAAGAUUGAUAUUAAAUCCGUCAAGGAAGUGAGAACAGGAAAAAAUACAGACAUAUUCCGUAGCAAUGGCAUUUCUGACCAGAUAUCUGAAGAUUGUGCAUUUUCGAUCAUAUAUGGAGAGAAUUAUGAAUCACUUGAUUUGGUUGCCAACUCUGCAGAUGUUGCAAACAUCUGGGUUACUGGACUGCGGUACCUAAUUUCUUACGGAAAACAUACACUUGAUAUGUUAGAAAGUAGCCAAGACAACAUGAGGACUUCUUGGGUUUCACAAAUGUUUGGUGAAAUAGAUGUAGAUAACCUUGGACAUGUAACCCUGUGUAAUGCUGUGCAGUGUAUCAGAAACCUCAAUCCUGGUUUAAAAAUGAGCAAAAUUGAGCUUAAGUUCAAAGAAUUGCACAAAUUCAAGGACAAAGCUGGUACUGAAGUCACAAAGGAAGAGUUUGUUGAAGUUUUCCAUGAGCUUUGUACUAGACCUGAAAUUUAUUUCCUUUUAGUUCAGUUUUCAAGCAAUAAAGAAUUCCUUGACACCAAGGACCUUAUGAUGUUUCUUGAGGCAGAACAGGGUGUGGCACAUAUAAAUGAGGAAAUAAGCCUUGAAAUUAUUCACAAAUAUGAGCCAUCCAAAGAGGGUCAGGAAAAGGGCUGGCUCUCCAUAGAUGGGUUCACUAAUUACCUUAUGUCACCUGACUGUUACAUAUUUGAUCCGGAACAUAAGAAGGUCUGUCAGGAUAUGAAGCAACCUUUGUCUCAUUACUUUAUAAACUCAUCUCAUAAUACAUACUUAAUAGAGGAUCAGUUCCGGGGUCCCUCUGAUAUCACAGGAUACAUUCGAGCUCUUAAAAUGGGUUGCCGGAGUGUUGAAUUAGAUGUAUGGGAUGGGCCAGAUAAUGAACCUGUGAUUUACACGGGCCAUACCAUGACCUCUCAGAUAGUCUUCCGCAGUGUCAUUGAUAUUAUUAACACGUAUGCAUUCUUUGCUUCAGAGUAUCCUCUUAUUUUGUGUUUAGAAAACCACUGUUCCAUUAAACAACAGAAGGUGAUGGUUCAACAUAUGAAGAAAAUUUUGGGAGACAAGCUCUAUACAACGUUACCUAAUGUUGAGGAAUCUUAUCUGCCAUCCCCAGAUAUCCUAAAAGGGAAAAUACUGAUCAAAGCAAAGAAACUUUCCUCAAAUUGCUCUGGAGUAGAAGGAGAUGUUACUGAUGAAGAUGAAGGAGCAGAAAUGUCUCAGAGGGUGGGAAAAGAGGACGUGGAGCAACCCAACCAUCUGCCUGUGAAACGGUUUCAGCUUUGUAAAGAGCUCUCUGAGCUGGUCAGCAUCUGCAAAUCAGUUCAGUUCAAAGAAUUUCAGGUGUCAUUUCAGGUUCAGAAGUACUGGGAAGUCUGCUCGUUUAAUGAAGUACUUGCUAGCAAAUACGCCAAUGAAAAUCCAGGGGACUUUGUAAAUUAUAACAAACGUUUUCUUGCUCGGGUUUUUCCUAGUCCAAUGAGAAUUGACUCUAGUAACAUGAACCCUCAAGAUUUUUGGAAAUGUGGUUGUCAGAUAGUAGCCAUGAACUUUCAGACGCCAGGAUUGAUGAUGGACCUGAAUAUCGGCUGGUUCAGACAGAAUGGGAACUGUGGCUACGUCCUCCGACCAGCCAUCAUGAGGGAGGAAGUCUCCUUCUUCAGUGCCAAUACAAAAGACUCCGUCCCAGGAGUCUCACCUCAGCUUCUUCACAUUAAGAUCAUCAGUGGGCAGAACUUUCCCAAGCCCAAAGGAUCAGGUGCCAAAGGUGACGUGGUGGAUCCUUAUGUCUACGUUGAAAUUCACGGGAUCCCUGCUGACUGUGCUGAACAGAGGACAAAAACAGUGCACCAGAAUGGAGACACGCCCAUUUUUGAUGAAAGCUUUGAAUUUCAAAUCAACCUGCCUGAACUGGCCAUGGUGCGCUUUGUAGUGCUAGAUGAUGAUUACAUCGGGGAUGAGUUUAUCGGUCAGUACACAAUUCCCUUUGAAUGUUUACAGACGGGCUACCGCCAUGUGCCCCUGCAGUCACUGACUGGAGAGGUCCUAGCACAUGCGUCUCUAUUUGUCCACGUGGCUAUCACCAACCGAAGAGGAGGAGGGAAACCUCAUAAGAGGGGCCUGUCUGUGAGGAAAGGGAAGAAAUCCAGGGAAUAUGCUUCAAUGAGAACAUUGUGGAUUAAAAGUGUAGAUGAGGUGUUCAAGAACGCCCAGCCCCCCAUACGGGAAGCCACGGAUCUGAGAGAGAACAUGCAGAACGCAGUGGUGUCAUUCAAGGAGCUGUGUGGCCUCUCCUCUGUGGCCAAUCUCAUGCAGUGCAUGUUGGCGGUGUCUCCCCGCUUUCUGGGGCCUGAUAACACCCCCCUGGUGGUGCUGAAUCUCAGCGAGCAGUAUCCCAUGAUGGAGUUGCAGGGAAUCGUGCCUGAGGUUCUGAAGAAGAUCGUAACAACUUACGACACGGAUUCAGAGGUACUUGCUUCAGUUGGAUUAAACAAUAACUAGCUUCUCAAGAACUAGAUCUGAACAGAUUUCUAAAAGCUGUGCCAUUUUCCACACGUAUGUAGUAAAGACGUUUUUUUCCUCCUGUAACCAGCCAUUGAUUCACUCAUUUUGUCUUAGUUUUUCAAACUGGUAAGUGUGAGACAUUUAAUUUUUUUAAGUAUAAAUUUUACGUGCCAAAAGGGGCAGAUGCUUCCAUGACAUGAUUCUGCCCUGUGUGGCGGCUCCCUUCCUUUCAGCAGCUGCUCUGACAUGCCCAUGGUCUGGUACCAGCCUAACGUUAAUGGUGCGUCCUCAGGCCUCCUAGAAUAUUACACUUCUGCACUUAAGACUCCAAGUGAGAAAUAAGGGUCAUUUGAGAAACUCUCCUCUCCAGAACUCUGAAUCAUUCCCAGUCUACACUGCUGAGGCGUGUCCCUCUGUGAGGACAGUACCGUGGUACUUCCUGAAAACGUACGGAUAUGUAUAUACACUAUCAGGACUUUGAUUACUCUGCAGUUUCUAAACUUCUAUUAAUAAAAUAGUAUAUGAGAAAUAUGCCACUUUCUUUAUGAAAAUGGAGAAAGAUUGUGGAAAUGUGAACAAUGUAUAAGCCUGUAUGAGGCUAGAAAAAAACACCCACUCAUAAGGUGGUCACACAUCCCAGCUUUCCUGGGGCAGACCCUGUUUAUACACCCAUUGUCCCAGCAUAAUUAGUAAUAAUUCCCUCUGUCAUUCUUAGAAAUCUCCCUGUUCGGACAAUUAAUUGUAUGGUCACCCUAGCCGUGGGCUGCAGAUUGACCUAAUGGAUCCUGUGAUUACCAACAAAUAGAACUUCCUCACAGCUGAGCAGAUACUGUUGUUGCCCUAUUUGUGGUGCCUUCUUGGAUCCUGGGAGUGGGGAGGUUUGAGCCCAGAUCCUGUUCAGAAAGGCGGGUGUCAAAGCCAGCCAGGAGUGGAGGAUGAAGAGAACCAGUACAAAUGCCUUCUUAGACUAGGCAGGUUGGGGGUGGUUAAAAACAAGGACUGGACCAGUGUGGAGAGUGAGACUGAACGGGUGCUGGUCAGCAGUGCUGGAGUCAGGACACGACAGUCUAGGAUGGAAGGCACCUGCUGAUAUUGUACCUGAAGGCCUUGUCAUGCUGGGGAGGCCUUAAGGGCCAGCCUGGGCCUUUAAACGAGGCUACUUUGUCCCCAUGAGCCCAGUGUCCUUAAGUACUCUAUUCCAUUUCUUAGGGACUCAGCUUUUUCUCCUGGGUCAAGCUCCCCCAAUCAGCUUAACUCCUCUGACUAUCUAAACAGCAGUGGCCCUUGAGUCCCUGUAUUCAUACCUGUCCUAUUCUUUUCAUCAGAUAGAAGGUGGCUUCCGUUAUUAAGCCACAUGGUUGGGCACUUUCCCACAACCUCAUAUUUAUUAUAUUUCAUUGCAUAAUAUGUAUUAUAUCAUACAUUAUGACUAUGGAAUCAGAGAGUUGUACUUUUUUACUUAAAUAAUUGAUUUGCUUUAGUUAAGAUGGCAGUGUUAAAUCCUUCUGAAGUGGAAUAUAGUAGAAAUCUAAUUGGUUUAUUUCAACAAGAGAGAUAAAAUAAGUGACAAUGUGAUUAAAAGAUAAAACCCAUUGCUGCCGAGUCGAUUCCGACUCAUAGCAAUCCUAUAGGAUAGAGUAGAACUGCCCCAUAGGGUUUCCAAGGAGCAACUGGUGGAUUUGAACUGCUGACCUUUUGGUUAGCAGCCAAGCUCUUAAACACUGUGCCACCAGGGCUCCUCGAUUAAAUAGUACGUGCUGUGAAUUCCACACCCUUUAUAAGCUUUUACCAUGUGUAAGACACUGUUCACUUAUUAAACAAAAAGUAUCAUUGAGUACCAGAGCCCUGGUGGCCCAACAGUUAAACACUUGGCUGCUAACAGAAAAGUUGGCAGUUGGAACCUACCCAGCUGAUCUGCAGGAGGAAAUCCUGACGAUUUGCUCCUGUAAAGAUUACAGCAUAGAAAACCCUAUAGGGCAGUUAUAUUCAGUCACAUGGGGUCUCUAUGAAUCAAAAUUAACUUGACAACACCUAACAGCACAAUAACUUUGUGCCAGGGACUAUUCUAGUCACCAUGAGGGAAUAUAAAGACAAGACUUUUUCUUCUCUUAGGAGGCUUACUAUUUAAUAGAAAAGAUGAAGUGUGUCCAUAGUUAAUUAGAUAGGUAGGUAGGUGGGUAGAUAGAUUAAAUAGAUAGAGAUCGAUCGAUCAACAGACAGAUUUUUAAAUAUAGAAAGAACUUACUUGGAUGUUCACGGGAGAAAAUGGUCAGUUUCAGCUUUAGGGAUUGGGAAGACUUGAGGAAGGAAACAUUGACCUUUGAGCUAGGUCUUUAAGAAUGAGUCAGAUUUCAACUAGUAAAGAUAAUAGGGGAGCUAUUGCAGCCUGGUGGCUCAGUGGUAGAAAUCUUGCCUUCCAUGCGGGAGACCUGGGUUUGAUUCCUGUUCAGUCUACCUCAUGUGCAGCCGCCACCCAUCUGUCAAUGAGGCUUGAGUGUUGCUAUGAUGCUGAACAGGUUUCAGGGUGCUUCCAGACUAAGAUGGAGUAAGAAGAAAGGCCUGGUGAUCUACUUCUGAAAAUCAGCCUGUGAAGACUCUUUGGAUCACAGUGAUACAGGCAGCAUUUUGUUCUGCUGUGUGUGGAAUCCCUAUGAAUUGGGGGCCAACUCAACAGCAGCUAAAAACAACGAAUUGAAACCUGGGAGUUCCUCAGUGGUGAAAACAGUUAACAUGCUUGGCCGCUAACUGAAAGGUUGGAGAUUCGAGUCCACCCAGAGGCGCAUGGGAAGAAAGUUCUGGCAAUCUACUUCUGAAAAAUUAGCCAUUGAAAACCCUAUGAAGCACAGUUCUACUUUGACAUACACGGGGUCACCAUGAGUUGGAAUCAACUCCACAGCAACUGAUAUUGCAACCUGAAUUCACAAGUGAAACGUGUUUAGAAAUGGAAAGCACAUAUUCUAGGAAACCCAAGUUUGGACUGUAUUGGUAAUGGGGAGUCCCUGCAUAGUUUUGAGCAAUGAAAGAUUCUUCACAGAAUAAGCAUGUGGGCUCUUUGAGGGUUGGGGGUAAAAGAGGACUCAGAGACCACCUGUUGAGUACUUUUACAGAUGAGAAAAUGGAAACCCUGUGCUACAGCAAAUUAAUGGCAGAGCCCAAGCAGCCUUUCCAGCCAAUUCUUGUUCUUCAGCCAGAUCAGAAAAUUAACUAUGUAGGGUAUGUAGGUGAACGAUCAAUGUACCUAUAGAACUGCCCCAUAAGAUUUCAAAGGAGUGGCCGGUGGAUUUGAACUGCUGACCUUUUGGUUAGCAGCCUGACCUCUCAACCACUGUGCCACAGAGCCGCAUCUUCAGUAAUAAUCUGUGAUAUUUUGAACACUAAAGUUAUUCAUGUGGGGUUGGUCUGUAAAGUCAUAGGUACCUUAUUGAGUCUUGCUCCUCAUGAAGGUGAAAUAUAAUUCAUUUUGCAUACUUUGGUAUGUAUUAAAAGACAGAUUUGAUGAACUUAAAAUAAGGAAGACUGUAAUCAAUAGUUAAAUCCAAUUCCACUCAAAGAAAUCUAAUUAUAAGUAUCUGAAAAUUUCUUUAAUAUUAUUACUUCAGAAGAUUAAAAAUUUAAAUAUUUCGCUUAAAAUUUAUCUAAACAAACUUGAUCGCAUCCACUGUUUACAGUCAAAUAUCGAGACUGAGCUUGUUCUCGCCUGUAAUUAAAAGCUGCUGGGAGAAAAACACAGAUUAUGUAGCCUGAGUUUAAGAGUCUAUGAGUCGGAAUCGACCUGAUGGCAACGGGUUUGGUGUUUUUGGUAAGUGAAUAACUAUGGUCCCUGGGUGCCGCAAACAGUUUGCGCUUGGCUACUAACUGAAAGGUUGGCAGUUUAAAUCUACCCAGCGGUGCCACAGAAGAAAGGCCUGGCAAUCCACAAGAUUACAGCCAUUAAAAACCCUAGGGAGUACAGUUGUACUCUGAAACAUACGGGGUCACCAUGAGUCAACAGUUGACACGAUGGCAGUGGGUUUGGUUUUUAGUGAAUAACUUGAUACUCUUUAAUAAUAUACAGCACUCUGAAGAACGGGUCAGCACUGGGAUUUCAGUACUGUAUCUUCCCUCCCCCCACCAAUAUAAGUGAUCUAAUUCAUCAUCUUUUUAAACCAAAAUGAUUUUAUCAUCCUUUUUAAUGUGCAUGAGAGUGAUAAUUCUGCUCUCUAGCUAUCUUUAUUUAGAUUGACCAGAAUAAUCUGUUUAAGACUUGAAUUUUUUUUUUUUUUUUGAUUUUAUGAGAUCCAUACUGACAUAUGAGGCCAAGGAGUCAACAUUCUUCCUUUACAGAGAAAAAAAAUUGGAAAUUGAAAUAUUUUGUAUAGUAUUACGUGAAAAAAGUUCUCUUUAAAAGUUUUUUCAUUGAUUUCACUACAGUUUUUCUGUACUAUGGAAUACCCCUCAGCCAUUGUAAUUAAAUUGAAGAUGAGAUCAUAGGGAAUGAAAAGGAUAGAAGAAGAAAAAGUAAUGAAAGAAAACGAUGCCCAACUCUGUGUUAUGGGCAGUAUGGCUAUUUGUACACGCAGCGGCAGACCCUCAGGCAACCAUUUGUUCCGCAAUUACGCGUUAAGUCAUUCUUAUCAUUGCAGUCUCUUUGUCCACACUUUCUAUUUAAACUUAAUUUGUUUUGAACGCCUUUUCCUUGCAGUUCCAAAAAAAAAAAAAAUGUUGAUUUUAAUUACCUUCAGGUUUAAUUAAGAAAACGUACUCUGGAGAACCCACAUAUGCGGUAGAGAAUAGGAAUUUUGUAAGUGCUGAAAGGGAGGAACAAGAUGCUUUGCCUAAGAGGAUGUUAUUUGCUGUCUGUGAAUGUUUUUAUGUAACUUUUUGAGUUUUCUAACAUAUGACUUUAAAUAUUCCUUAAAUAAACAAGGGUCUUUGAAUAAAGUAUGUGAAACGAAGGGAUUUUUUUCCAAAUAAAAACCAUUUUGGCAACUGGCACACAACAUCAGGAGCAUUCUAUUUUAUGUUAUCGGUAUAGUUUCAUGGGUUUUUUUCUUGCCAGUGAUUAAUGCAGCGAGAAGAUAAAUCACACUUCAUAACUAAUGGAUUCUGCCCAUCUGGGCCAAGCCAGAGACAAUCUGUAAUAAGGUUACCAUUGAUUCCAUCUCCUUUUGUAGCUCUUUUUAUCACACUCCUGCCACAGAACUUGACAUUAAAAGCUUCUUUUAAUUGGAGGUGUCGACUUUACCAACAUUUAUGACCAGAGAAAAAAGGCCAGAUAGAAUAUUAUUCUUAAGGAUAAGAUUGAGCUAAAAAAAAAAAAAAAGGUGAUAGAUUGGGGAAACGUGGAUGUAACCUGCAGAAUGGAGAUCAGAACAGUUAAAACUGCUAAGCCACUAGGAGGAGAAAAGAAGUGUUUAAAAGAUACUAUGUAAUAAAAACAUCACAUGUCCGGGGAUGAGAUAUAGCAAGCUGCCACAGAGUAACUAGAAGCAGGGCCAUUCGGAAAAUUUUGGAAGAUAGUGCUUCAAGACAGGAAGUGCAGGUGGUGGCGACUAUAUGUAAGUCUGUAUUUCUGAUCCAGUUUUCUAGUUUUACACACAUCUGUAGACGUCAUUGAGGAACACAUGUUCAGAAGUAUUCACACAUGCACACAACAGAUACUAAGCAAUGAACGUCAUGUUUGGUAAAGUAGAGGGUCUGUGAAAAUGAGGAAAACCCUUAAUGAGACAGAUUCACAUAAUAGCUGCAACAAUGGACUCAAACAUACCAAUGAUUGUGAGGAUGGCACAGGACUGGGCAGCGUUUCAUUCUGUUAUACGUAAGGUCGCUGUGAGUCGGAGUGGACUCGACAGCUGUUAACGACAGCAGCAAGCAACGAACAGUUGGAGAAAGUAGCAUUUUGGGGGCUGGCAAUCCCCUUGAAAGACAUGUCAUCAUAUACACUUUAUCACUCACAUUUGAUAUCCAGCUCUCAACCUUCUGGGAGGACAGAUGAAAGCCUUAGUGCAGUUUACCUUGUUGUCAGAUGGUGUCCUCAGACAAGGAGUGAUAAAUGGUAUUAAGCAGCCACGGUAUUAUCCGACAGACUAACAGUCUGAUUUAAAAUUUCUAAGUAAGCUAGAAAACAAAUGACUUAGAGUGCUGUCCGACCAUGUUGGUGCAUGAGAAAUGGGAGCCUGCUGUUGGCUUCACUCUAGUUCUUGAGUAGGUUUCAUUUGAGCCAGAGCAGCCUGGAGAACUGUUAGGGUUUGGGGCCAUUUAUAUGGUAAGGUCUUCACUGUUUUAAUUUUCCUUUUAGAGCCUUUCUGUUGCAUUUUAAUGGGGCAGAGAAACUGCUUAUUUUUCAAGCACUUUGUUUGCCUGACUCUGGUAGAAAAUAUGUAUAAAAUAUAUCUGACACCUAAAGCCCAAGAAAAGUUUGGGAAAUUCUUUUUCAACCUAUGCUUUAUGCAAAAGAACACUACUACGUAUGUGAUAAAACUAAGAUAUUGAAGUGCUGUGGUCUUUUUUCUCCCUAUGCAAGAGCGGAGGGAUUACUUCCUAUGCUCCUGUCAAAUUCCACAUUGAAUACUGAAUUUUGUCUUGAAUAAUUUCUUUAAAGAUUUUUUUUUUUGCUAUUUUCUUUUCUUGGCUAGAAGCCUUUUGUUUCUCUUUCUGCAGAAGCUCAGGGCAUCUCCUUAAGUUGUUUGCUAAGUUUCUUUCUCUGUCAAGGACCCUAAAGUAUACUAAAAAAAAAGACUUUAUACAUUAUUAAGAUUCUGUACUUGUUCUAUAGGUCAUAGACACAGUUCUUUUGGUUAGCCGUGAUGCAUACUGGUUCCAUGCCCCUACACAUAGCUUUCUUAUCCCAGUCGUUUCAGUAAACUUUUUGGCUGUGUUGUAAACCAGUUGCCCUUGAGCUGAUUCCAACUCAUGGCAACCCCAUGUAUGUCAGAGUAAAGCUGUUUUUCUAUAGGUGGUCUAUUUUGUGGAAAUAGAUCACCAGGCCUUUCAUCGCAGGCUCUCUUAGACUUUGAAGAAAUAAACUUUCAUUGAGGAGAGACAGUUGCCUUUCCAUUCUUGUGGCCAUCAUUUUAGUUCAGCUCUUCAUGGCCUUAUGCCUGUGAAGCAGAGUUUGAGUUCAGACUUCACACUCAACUCAGAUGGAGAAAAACAUGUCGUUUCCAUCUCUCUCCUGGUGGGAGUGGUGGUGGUAACAUGAGUGUCCUUAAAUUAUAGUUCAUUGUUGAAUGGAUGGAAAGCUCCCAGGGCAACACGAUUUAUAAAAUAUGGGAAAAUGUGUAAAAAAAAAAAAAAUAAGUUUUUUACACUAUCCCGUUAUGCCUCUGUUAUUGCUGUAGCCAACUAGCUUGUUGGAUUUCCCUCCCCGCUGCAGGUUGUCUUCUGGAUGGCUGUAAAGACCAUCUUCCUGAAAUAGCACCUGAAGAAAGACUUGGGUGUUUCAGGGGGGAGCCAGAAAGUACAGUUAGAAGUAUGAUAUGAUAACUUUAAGAACUAGGCCAGCUCGAAGGAUUAUAUUAUCAUCAUUAAGAGAAACAGAGCCAAAUUACUCUCUGUUACCUUAACUAGUAUUGUUAGAUAACAGUCUUCUUAGAACAUCCUGGAAAAGUGGCAUCCUUUUGUUGUGUUUGGAUUAGAUGAAGCUUUUAUGUUGAGCCCAAUAAUUGCCAACAGGAGAAAAAUAUAACUUGAAGGACAUGCAACUCAUGCAUACAUCAUUCUAGCAAUUGAAGUUUUCCAGAUUCAAAAUUUUUCAUUUGCUGUUGAAAUAUGCAUGAAACACUGUUAGUAACAUACUCCCCUUCUUAAAAAAAAAAAAAAAAAAAA
Molecule: RNA transcript, 10876 nt
Organism: Trichechus manatus latirostris (Florida manatee)
Lineage: Eukaryota; Metazoa; Chordata; Mammalia; Sirenia; Trichechidae
Gene: PLCL2
Gene name: phospholipase C like 2
Exons: 5
Source: RefSeq, a predicted model, not a curated record